UACGAAGGGGGCUAGCGUUGUUCGGAAUUACUGGGCGUAAAGCGCACGUAGGCGGACUAUUAAGUCAGGGGUGAAAUCCCAGGGCUCAACCCUGGAACUGCCUUUGAUACUGGUAGUCUUGAGUACGAGAGAGGUGAGUGGAAUUCCGAGUGUAGAGGUGAAAUUCGUAGAUAUUCGGAAGAACACCAGUGGCGAAGGCGACUCACUGGCUCGUAACUGACGCUGAGGUGCGAAAGCGUGGGGAGCAAACAGG
Molecule: ribosomal RNA, 253 nt
Filed under: uncultured Alphaproteobacteria bacterium
Lineage: Bacteria; Pseudomonadati; Pseudomonadota; Alphaproteobacteria
Description: partial 16S ribosomal RNA
Rfam family: Bacterial small subunit ribosomal RNA
Source: RNAcentral